AUAAAAAAAACGAGAAACGAGAAAAACGUAUAAAUUACAUAAACAAACGACAACUACUGUACAUCAGAUUCCCGACUUAGGACAGGUGCAAACAUUUGCAGCGGGAUUAAACGUUUUAAUGGAUCCAGACUUUAUCCUUUUUCUGAAACAAUAGCAUAACAUCACAACAUAGAAAAACACACAAUAAAAUAUCAAUUGGCAGGCUUAACUCAAUCAAAAAACGUACAUUAAUACACUAUAAACGAAUAAAUUUGAUCUGCGAUAUCUAAAUGCAAAUGCACAGUUUAUAAAAUAUUAGGGACAAACAUUCAAGGCCAAAAAGCAAACAAACAAGUCCAAACAAAGCCAUGUCAAGACACC
RNAcentral lists this long non-coding RNA (360 nucleotides) under Mytilus galloprovincialis (Mediterranean mussel). The record is from RNAcentral. Lineage: Eukaryota; Metazoa; Mollusca; Bivalvia; Mytilida; Mytilidae.